UACGGAGGAUGCGAGCGUUAUCCGGAUUUAUUGGGUUUAAAGGGUGCGCAGGCGGCACGGCAAGCCGGCGGUCAAAUCGCGGGGCUCAACCCCGCCCAGCCGUUGAAACUGUCAGACUUGAGUUGGCGAGAAGUACGCGGAAUGCGCGGUGUAGCGGUGAAAUGCAUAGAUAUCGCGCAGAACUCCGAUUGCGAAGGCAGCGUACCGGCGCCACACUGACGCUGAGGCACGAAAGCGUGGGGAGCAAACAGG
This 252-nucleotide ribosomal RNA is filed under the name uncultured bacterium. RNAcentral's name for it is "partial 16S ribosomal RNA". It matches the Rfam family "Bacterial small subunit ribosomal RNA", at positions 524 to 776 of the family's 1533-position model. The record is from RNAcentral.